UGAAACCGUUCAGGGGUAAACCUGCGAAACUCGAAUGAACGAACGGAGAGAUUCAUCGUCACUCCACGGCGUACGUGCGUGUUACUCGAUGUGAUGUGACCUCGUGUCUUGUCGCACGGUACGCGUUCGUCGACGUCCGUGGACGGCGUGCACUUCUCUCUUAGUAAUGCAUCGCGACCCGUUCGAUGUCGGUCUAAGCGCCGUUCGGGAGCCCAAUCGUUCCCCCUCACGGGGGUGGCGGCUGGACCGUGACGGACGCCGACCGGCCGUCGGACGGUAUGAACAAUGAAUCGCGCACGCGUCUACGACGCGUCCGGCCCGACGCAAGGCGUUUUCGUCGUUCGUCGAAUUCCUGCCAAUGUGCGGAAUUUGAUGCGGCGCGCCUGUUAUGUUGCUGCCGUGUUGUCUCGGACUGUGCGCGUAUCUGUCUGCGAUGAUUCCCGUUUCGGGCACUCGCAGGACCCGUCUUGAAACACGGACCAAGGAGUCUAGCAUGUGUGCGAGUCAUUGAGAUUUUGACUAAACUGAAAGGCACAACGAAAGUGAAGGCGCGCGCUCGUCGCACGCUCAGGGAGGAUGGAGCGUCGGUCGUCGAUCGAUCUCUCGCACUCCCGAGGCGUCUCGUUUCCAAUCUGUGAAUGUAGGCGCGCUCUGAGCGCAGAUGCUGGGACCCGAAAGAUGGUGAACUAUGCCUGGUCAGGUCGAAGUCAGGGGAAACCCUGAUGGAGGACCGUAGCGAUUCUGACGUGCAAAUCGAUCGUCGGAACUGGGUAUAGGGGCGAAAGACUAAUCGAACC
This 797-nucleotide ribosomal RNA is filed under the name Siamusotima aranea. Its description in RNAcentral is "partial 28S ribosomal RNA". It matches the Rfam family "Eukaryotic large subunit ribosomal RNA", at positions 400 to 941 of the family's 3401-position model. The record is from RNAcentral. Lineage: Eukaryota; Metazoa; Arthropoda; Insecta; Lepidoptera; Crambidae.